This 627-nucleotide ribosomal RNA is filed under the name Triticum aestivum (bread wheat). RNAcentral's name for it is "partial small subunit ribosomal RNA". Lineage: Eukaryota; Viridiplantae; Streptophyta; Magnoliopsida; Poales; Poaceae. The record is from RNAcentral.
AUGUCCGGGUCAGCAGCAGCAGGCGGAGAAGACCUCGGCGGCGGCCAGUUCUACGGCGACCAUCCGCCUGCCGACGACGGCUUCUUCCAGAGUCGUUCGGCGUGCGGCGGUGAAGGCGAUGGUGGUGUCACGCCGUCGGUCUACUCCAGCAUCACCGACUACCUGCAGGGGCUCCUCGACCCCGCGGAGCUCGCCAGGCACCUGGACGCGCCUCCGUGCUACCCGGCGAUGAGAGACGUGAUCGGCGAGACGGCGACCCCGGUCACGCCCAACUCGUCGACGUCCGGCGAGGCGGCGGGGGCUGAGUCCCACGGAUGCAAGAGAGGCAGUCCGGUGCCGGAGGAGGGAGACGAGGACGGAUCGGCUGAUCAUCACAACCACAGGAGCGACGAGAAGGAGCAGAAGAAGAAGAGGAAGGGGGAGAAGAAGGCGCGCGGCUCCCGUGUGGCCUUCGCAACCAAGAGCGAGGUCGACCACCUCGACGAUGGCUACCGCUGGCGCAAGUAUGGCCAGAAGGCCGUCAAGAACAGUUCUUUCCCAAGGUACUACCUCCUUACAUUCACCCCUAUGCGUAUGUGUUUCGAAAAGAAAAAACAUGCCUUCCACUUCUCAGUUUUGCUCCUGUAG